GGGUAAAUAGCUUAGAUGGUUAGAGCAUUCGGCUCAUAUACGUCGCUUUGCGCCGUUUGCAUGAGAAGAAAUUAUUGAAAUUUGCGCUUACGCGCAUUUGCAUCCGAAAGGUCUGUGGUUCGAGUCCACAUUUACCCA
RNAcentral lists this transfer RNA (138 nucleotides) under Spirochaetaceae bacterium. Its description in RNAcentral is "tRNA-OTHER". It matches the Rfam family "tRNA". From Rfam's summary of the family: Transfer RNA (tRNA) molecules are approximately 80 nucleotides in length. The record is from RNAcentral. Lineage: Bacteria; Pseudomonadati; Spirochaetota; Spirochaetia; Spirochaetales; Spirochaetaceae.